UGACCUCGGAUCAGGUAGGUCCG
Molecule: ribosomal RNA, 23 nt
Filed under: Stemphylium lycopersici
Lineage: Eukaryota; Fungi; Ascomycota; Dothideomycetes; Pleosporales; Pleosporaceae
Description: partial 28S ribosomal RNA
Source: RNAcentral